RNAcentral lists this ribosomal RNA (429 nucleotides) under Chloroflexota bacterium. RNAcentral's name for it is "Chloroflexi bacterium partial 16S ribosomal RNA". It matches the Rfam family "Bacterial small subunit ribosomal RNA", at positions 355 to 776 of the family's 1533-position model. Lineage: Bacteria; Bacillati; Chloroflexota. The record is from RNAcentral.
UGGGGAAUAUUGCACAAUGGGCGCAAGCCUGAUGCAGCCAUGCCGCGUGUAUGAAGAAGGCCUUCGGGUUGUAAAGUACUUUCAGUCGGGAGGAAGGUGUCAAGGUUAAUAACCUUGGCAAUUGACGUUACCGACAGAAGAAGCACCGGCUAACUCCGUUCCCGCAGCCGCGGUAAUACGGAGGGUGCAAGCGUUAAUCGGAAUUACUGGGCGUAAAGCGCACGCAGGCGGUUGAUUGAGUCAGAUGUGAAAUCCCCGGUCUUAACCCGGGAAUUGCAUCUGAUACUGGUCAGCUAGAGUCUUGUAAAGGGGGGUAGAAUUCCAUGUGUAGCGAUAAAAUGCGUAGAGAUGUGGAGGAAUACCGGUGGCGAAGGCGGCCCCCUGGACAAAGACUGACGCUCAGGUGCGAAAGCGUGGUGAGCAAACUGG